GAGCCGUUAGCUCAGCCGGUAGAGCACCGGACUUUUAAUCCGGGUGUCGAGGGUUCGAGUCCCUCACGGCUCACCA
RNAcentral lists this transfer RNA (76 nucleotides) under Synergistaceae bacterium. Its description in RNAcentral is "tRNA-Lys". It matches the Rfam family "tRNA". Rfam says of the family: Transfer RNA (tRNA) molecules are approximately 80 nucleotides in length. Lineage: Bacteria; Thermotogati; Synergistota; Synergistia; Synergistales; Synergistaceae. The record is from RNAcentral.